CCUACGGGAGGCAGCAGUGAGGAAUAUUGGUCAAUGGGCGAGAGCCUGAUCCAGCCAAGUCGCGUGAGGGAUGACGGCUCUAUGGUUUGUAAACUUCUUUUAUAUGGGCGUAAAGUGAGGAACGUGUUCCUUUUUGUAUGUACAACAUGAUUAAGCAUCGGCUAACUCCGUGCCAGCAGCCGCGGUAAUACGGAGGUGGCGAGCGUUAUCCGGAUUUAGUGGGUUUAAAGGGUGCGUAGGUGGUUAAUUAAGUCAGCGGUGAAAGUUUGUGGCUCAACCAUAAUAUUGCAGUUGAAACUGGUUGACUUGAGUAUAGGAGAGGAAGACGGAAUUCGUGGUGUAGCGGUGAAAUGCAUAGAUAUCACGCAGAACUCCGGUUGCGAAGGCAGCUUACUAAACUAUAACUGACACUGAAGCACGAAAGCGUGGGGAUCAAACAGGAUUAGAUACCCUAGUAGUC
RNAcentral lists this ribosomal RNA (460 nucleotides) under uncultured bacterium. RNAcentral describes it as "partial 16S ribosomal RNA". It matches the Rfam family "Bacterial small subunit ribosomal RNA", at positions 338 to 795 of the family's 1533-position model. The record is from RNAcentral.